UUAAACCUUGGUAUUAUAAAUUCAGGUACGGGUGAAGAUUUUAUUUUAUUGGCAAUGCUGUCGUUUUAUUCAUCAUUUGAAAGUCCGAGAAAUGCCUUGGUUUUUACGGGAUUGUUUUUCUGGUUGUCUUUUGUGUUGGUUUUACAUGGAUGGAUACGGCAGAAGGGUUAGAUUCUUGUAAGACUUGUAUGAUAAUUGUCAACUCUGUUUGUCGUUUCCUUCGUGUUGGUCGUUAAGCAUAA
Molecule: long non-coding RNA, 242 nt
Filed under: Gossypium barbadense (sea-island cotton)
Lineage: Eukaryota; Viridiplantae; Streptophyta; Magnoliopsida; Malvales; Malvaceae
Description: long non-coding RNA (GBAR_LNC011312)
Source: RNAcentral